This 648-nucleotide ribosomal RNA is filed under the name uncultured bacterium. RNAcentral's name for it is "bacterial SSU rRNA". The stretch from base 1 to 549 matches the Rfam family "Bacterial small subunit ribosomal RNA", at positions 338 to 873 of the family's 1533-position model. The record is from RNAcentral.
CCUACGGGAGGCAGCAGUGGGGAAUUGUUCACAAUGGGCGCAAGCCUGAUGACGCAACGCCGCGUGGGGGAUGAAGGUCUUCGGAUCGUAAACCCCUGUCGAAUGGGACGAAUAGCUUCCGGAUUAAUACCCCGGAGGAAUGACGGUACCGUUAAAGGAAGCCACGGCUAACUCUGUGCCAGCAGCCGCGGUAAUACAGAGGUGGCAAGCGUUGUUCGGAAUUACUGGGCGUAAAGGGCGCGUAGGCGGCCAUCUAAGUCAGACGUGAAAUCCCCCGGCUCAACCUGGGAACUGCGUCUGAUACUGGAAGGCUAGAGUUUGGGAGAGGGAUGUAGAAUUCCAGGUGUAGCGGUGAAAUGCGUAGAUAUCUGGAGGAAUACCGGUGGCGAAGGCGGCAUCCUGGACCAAUACUGACGCUGAGGCGCGAAAGCUAGGGGAGCAAACGGGGAUUAGAUACCCCGGGUAGUCCUAGCCCUAAACGAUGAAUACUUGGUGUGGCGGGUAUCGAUCCUCGCCGUCGCCGACGACUACGACAUAAGUAGUUCCGUCCGUCGGGUAGGUACGGGUCGGCGACGGCGUGUAAACGUACUUAGUUAGUAGUUAGUUACGGCGUUGAGACGUGCCGACGGACGACGACGAGGGAGGAGG